This is a non-coding RNA of Megalopta genalis, 780 nucleotides long. NCBI's taxonomy places the organism in Eukaryota, Metazoa, Arthropoda, Insecta, Hymenoptera, Halictidae. The record is from RefSeq and is a predicted model, not a curated record.
AAGACCGAACGCUGAUCUCGAAGAUAUAAAACGCAUAUUAAACAAGCUUGCGGCAUCAGGAAUUCGUUGCGACAUUUCGAGGAGGGCCACGGCGUAGACGGAGUUACGUGUGCUCCAUUAGAGUCGGAUCUCCAGAAGCAUGUAGCAACACGUGAAUUGGGGAACCUGCGUUCGAACGUACGGCAAUCGUAUGUAAACGCCGAGCUUGAUAAAAACGGUAGCACUCAGUGUCUAAGGUUAUCGGAACCGCGGCCUAUAAACAAAUCGACCGACGGCUCGCACGAAAUCAGUUGACCAUCUCCAGCGACUGUAGAAACACCGUGCAACAUGUGGACGAAAUUGACCGCUCUGCUCUUGCUGUUCGCCGUCGCGACGUCUGUGCUCCUCGACGAACCAGAAAGGAGAUGCGUGGAUGGGAAAAGUUAUAACGAUGGAUGCAACUGGUGCAACUGUAUGGGAGGAUUGACGGCGUGCACUUCAAUGGCAUGCGGACGAUACGAUUCUGAAACCGGCGAAUUCGUUCCAACAGAGACUCUGCCUCCACCGGAAGAUUAUUGGGUCGCCUAAUUAGAGUGUAAUCGUUCAAAUUAUGCAGUGUCUACGGUCUUGAUUUAUAUGGAUCGUAUCUUGCCCGAAGGAAGGCUUCUUCUGCUGCUAAAAAUAUUGUAUGUCUUUAUCGAUCACUGUGCUGUACUGUUGGCUAGAAUUAAUUGUAUGAGAAAUGACAGUGUAUCUGGCACGAGAAUCUACUGAAAUCGAUUCGAGCAUCGGCACCAGAAA